RNAcentral lists this transfer RNA (84 nucleotides) under Gaeumannomyces tritici R3-111a-1. RNAcentral describes it as "tRNA GGTG_20145". It matches the Rfam family "tRNA". From Rfam's summary of the family: Transfer RNA (tRNA) molecules are approximately 80 nucleotides in length. Lineage: Eukaryota; Fungi; Ascomycota; Sordariomycetes; Magnaporthales; Magnaporthaceae. The record is from Rfam by way of RNAcentral.
GCCCGGUUAGCUCAAUCGGUAGAGCGUGAGACUCUUACGACCUAGGUCAUCUCAAGGUUGCGGGUUCGACCCCCGCAUCGGGCU